Molecule: ribosomal RNA, 245 nt
Filed under: uncultured bacterium
Lineage: Bacteria
Description: partial 16S ribosomal RNA
Rfam family: Bacterial small subunit ribosomal RNA
Source: RNAcentral
GACGAAGGGGGCUAGCGUUGUUCGGAAUUACUGGGCGUAAAGCGCGUGUAGGCGGUUGUCCAAGUCGGGCGUGAAAGCCUUGAGCUCAACUCAAGAAAUGCGCUCGAUACUGGGCGACUAGAGGACCGGAGAGGAUAGUGGAAUUCCCAGUGUAGUGGUGAAAUACGUAGAGAUUGGGAAGAACACCAGUGGCGAAGGCGGCUAUCUGGACGGUUACUGACGCUAAGACGCGAAAGCGUGGGGAG